GUGACGAUGCGACGCCGCGUGAGCGAAGAAGGCCCUAGGGUUGUAAAGCUCUGUCAGGAGUUAAGAAAUAUAGAGGCGUUAAUAGCGCUUCUAUUUGACGAAGGCUCCAGAGGAAGCCACGGCUAACUCUGUGCCAGCAGCCGCGGUAAUACAGAGGUGGCAAGCGUUGUUCGGAAUUAUUGGGCGUAAAGAGCACGUAGGUGGGUUUGUAAGUCAGAUGUGAAAGCCUUCUGUUCAACGGAAGAAUUGCAUCUGAAACUGCAGAUCUUGAGUGUAGGAGGGGAGAAUGGAACUUCUGGUGGAGCGGUGAAAUGCGUAGAUAUCAGAAGGAACGCCGGCGGCGAAAGCGAUUCUCUGGCCUAUUACUGACACUGAGUGUGCGAAGGCUAGGGGAGCAAACGGGAUUAGAUACCCCGGUAGUCCUAACCGUAAACGAU
This 437-nucleotide ribosomal RNA is filed under the name uncultured anaerobic ammonium-oxidizing bacterium. Its description in RNAcentral is "bacterial SSU rRNA". It matches the Rfam family "Bacterial small subunit ribosomal RNA", at positions 383 to 810 of the family's 1533-position model. The record is from RNAcentral.